CAAACAUGGGUCUGGAAAAACAAACAGGUUAGGACAUCGCUGGUUCCCCAGAAAUCUGCCAAAGUCAAUGCUGUUGGGGGCAGUGGAGUGGGGGUGGGGAGAUGCUCCCAUGUCGGCCUGGGAUGUGGUAACAGCAGCAAAGAGAGGAGACAAAUGAGGGGAUGAGGCAGCACGAGGAGAGGGGGGCCAGUGCAGCCAGCCUUGGGGGCUCUGAGAGGGGAAAGUGGGGCUACGCAGCAAUUUGAUAAAAUCCUCUAAUGUCGAGGAGAAUUAUCUCUUCCUGAGGGGAGAACAAGGCCUGGAGACGGAGCAAAGGAAAAUGAUCUAGAGUGAGGAGGGAGAGGCAUGGGAUGCCAAGAUCUUGGGUGCCUGGACACAGAGUGACAAGAAGACACCAUCUGCCCUAAAGGAGCUCACCUUGAUUCAUUUAGUCCAGCAACAUAUGAUCAGCCAAGAACUAUAAGUUAUUGUGCAAAAUUAUUGUAACAUUUGUUCUGUGGACAAAGAUUGGGAUUUAUUUCUCCAGUGUAAAACAUCAAUCAAUGGACUACAAAUUACCGUUGUGCAAGGACCUUCAGGUUUCUUGGGAAGAACUGGGUUCUGAGAGAUUUCAACAGCUGCAGUGAGAAGCCAGGUCUAUCCUCUGACAUACCUCAAAGUCUGAGCGUCCACAGCUGUGGUCAGCACCCUUCACAUUCUCAGUGAAGGCCACUAAGGUAUAGUCCACAUGGGGCAGAAUGGUGUGAACUCUGGCUCAGGUCCCAUCUUCAGAACUGCUUGACAGCAGGAACAUGGGAGUCACUUCCUUCUUCUUGAGUUCCCCCGCCCUGUUACAUGCCCCGUGAGCAUCACGUGGCUCUUCCAUUGCUACUCUGACAUUGUCCUCUGGUCAUGGUUGCUGCUCUUAUGAUUGCCUUAUGUGAUCAUCUGGAGCAAAUUAUAUUUUCCAAAAUGUCUACAGUAAUAUUUGCAGAUCUACAUACUCUUUCAAAACCUCAAAGAUUCUUUCAUCAAAAGCUUUGGUCUAAUUCCUCUCCCCUGGAAUAUGGAUGAGCAUUGGUGGCUGCCUCCUUGAAUAGAAUGUAGUGGAAAUGAUGCUGCAUGAAUUAUGAGGCUAAAUCAAAAAAAGAAAUAAGGCCUUUACCAUGUUCUCUUUCUUUUGGUACAUGUGUCUUGGGAGCCCUGAGCCAACAUGUAGGAAGUCCAGCUGUGCUGAAGCUGCCCUGCAGCAGGACCACAGGCAUGAAGGUUCCCAAGGCGCCCCACCAUUCCAGCCGCCAGCUGCUUGUGCUUUCCCUUGAUCAGCUGCCACACACGGGAGUAGAGAGCCCUCAGAUGACUCAGUCCCCAGCCUCUGAGCUGUCCAAGCUGACGCCACAUGCAGCCAAGGAGCUGUCCUCAAGCCCAGCCCAUACUACCGAUGUGUGAGAAAAAUUACUGUUCUGGCUGUUUUAAGCCACUACGCUGUGGGGUAAUUCAUUACACAGCAACAGUAACUGGGUCAUCACCCUCAUGCAUCAUCAGGCUGCUCACCUCGCUUCUGUGAGACCCUAGCUUCUCUUUUGUAUCGGUUGCUGAGCAGAAUACAGGGAAGCUCCCUGCUCCCACCACUGUCAAAAUUCGCUUACCAAACCACAAAACAUGGAAGCAUUUACCUCUUAAAAUUUGAAGACUUGUAGUUUCUCAUAAUGGCCCCAACAGUAUAAAGCCUUAAUUCAACUGACUUUUUCAUAUGUUAUCAUUCCUCUAUGCACAGAAUUUAGUGGAAGUCCCCUUGUGCUUGUGUUGGAGGCUCCAGUUCAAGUGGACCUUGACAACGUUGCUGUCAAGCCAGGCCUCCCCAUCUGUGCUGGGACUGGAGCUGGUGCACCCCAGCUCUCUCCUGCCAGGUUAAAUCACCUCCCCCACCCUAAGCAGUGUGCCAGAGUCAAGAGCUUAUCAGGUCAGCUUUGACGUGUCCUGCCCCUUUGCUGGGGCUUUUUGGAUCCAGAACCUUCUAAGACCUGUGCCUUAUAUACACAGUAGGCACCUGGCAUUUUAAACUCUCUUCCUGGACACUCACCACCAAUAACAUUGAGCAGAUUGGGACCAAGAACAGCUCUGUUUUGUGAGACCACCCCUCUGCCAGGUUGACAUUGAUCCAUUAAUGAACAGCACGUUCAACCAUAACUAGUGAGUUAUGAAUCCAAAUAUAUGCCUCCAUUUUGUCUCCAAGGUGACCAUGAGGUGAAUAACCAGAUGCCUUGCUGUAAAUCUUGUCUAUCACAUUUCCUUGUUUUCCCAGGCUAGUGAUCUGUUAAAAGAGGGAGAGAGUUAAUUACCUGACUUGUUCCUAAUAAUCUAGUCUGGUUCCUCACAACGAUUCCCAAGUUUGUUGUUAGUUCUCAGAAGCCAUCAUUUAAAAAAAAAAAAGUUUAUUUCUUGGUAGAAUUGAGCUCUAAAUCAAAGUCUAGCCCAUGUGGAUUCUACCUUCUCUAUGUUAGGAUUAAAUGAGGCUAAAAGAGAAAGGCAAACACAGUCAAGGUAUAUUAUUAUUUGAGCUUGCCUUGAAAAUUAUUAUUGUUGUUUUACUCAGUAGCUUGCUUUUUAGUGGUAACAACCAGAAAAUGACUUAUUAAAAAAAAAAAUUCUGGAGCCCCAGGGCUGAUUUUGCAUCUAGCACAGUAUUAUUUUAGUGCCACCCAGAGGCAAACAUCAUGUACAGCAGACAGGAGGAAAUAGAAAAGUCAUAAACAUUCUAAAUUUUAGUUAAGCAACACCGAGAUAAUAACUUGCUCCUUUUUGCUGGUCUGUCCCCAAGCCAUGUAUUCCAGUUGUAAACAUCCAAUCAUUCAACAACCCUACGAAAUAGGUACUACUGUUACCAACUUACAAAUUGAGAAAC
This is a long non-coding RNA of Manis pentadactyla (Chinese pangolin), 2884 nucleotides long. RefSeq lists it as uncharacterized. The record is from RefSeq and is a predicted model, not a curated record. The transcript has 3 exons. Lineage: Eukaryota; Metazoa; Chordata; Mammalia; Pholidota; Manidae.